AGACGUCUACAUUGAUACCCGCGUAGUCCCAGCCGUAAACUAUGCGCGUUAGGUGUAUCGGUGACCACGAGUCACCGAGGUGCCGAAGGGAAACCGUGAAACGUGCCGCCUGGGAAGUACGGUCGCAAGGCUGAAACUUAAAGGAAUUGGCGGGGGAGCACAACAACGGGUGGAGCCUGCGGUUUAAUUGGACUCAACGCCGGACAACUCACCGGGAACGACAGCAAUAUGUAGGCCAGGCUGAGGACCUUGCCUGAAUCGCUG
This 264-nucleotide ribosomal RNA is filed under the name uncultured archaeon. RNAcentral's name for it is "partial 16S ribosomal RNA". It matches the Rfam family "Archaeal small subunit ribosomal RNA", at positions 722 to 982 of the family's 1478-position model. The record is from RNAcentral.